CUACGGGUUGCUGCAGUGAGGAAUAUUGCACAAUGGGGGGAACCCUGAUGCAGCAACGCCGCGUGGAGGAUGACGCAUUUCGGUGUGUAAACUCCUUUUAUAUGUCAAGGAAAUGACGGUAGCAUAUGAAUAAGCACCGGCUAACUCCGUGCCAGCAGCCGCGGUAAUACGGAGGGUGCAAGCGUUACUCGGAAUCACUGGGCGUAAAGGACGCGUAGGCGGGUUGGAAAGUCAGGUGUGAAAUCCUACAGCUUAACUGUAGAACUGCACUUGAAACUUCUAAUCUAGAGUAUGGGAGGGGGAGAUGGAAUUAGUGGUGUAGGGGUAAAAUCCGUAGAUAUCACUAGGAAUACCUAAAGCGAAGGCGAUCUCCUGGAACAUUACUGACGCUAAGGCGUGAAAGCGUGGGGAGAAAACAGGAUUAGAUACCCGAGUAGUC
This 439-nucleotide ribosomal RNA is filed under the name uncultured bacterium. Its description in RNAcentral is "partial 16S ribosomal RNA". It matches the Rfam family "Bacterial small subunit ribosomal RNA", at positions 339 to 795 of the family's 1533-position model. The record is from RNAcentral.